GAGUUUGAUCGUGGCUCAGGACGAACGCUGGCGGCGUGCUUAACACAUGCAAGUCGAGCGAGGCUUCUCCUUCGGGAGAUGUCCUAGCGGCGAACGGGUGAGUAACACGUGGGCAACCUGCCCCUAGCUCUGGGAUAACUCCGGGAAACCGGGGCUAAUACCGGAUACGACCUCGAGCGGCAUCUAUCGAGGUGGAAAGUUUUUCGGCUAGGGAUGGGCCCGCGGCCUAUCAGCUUGUUGGUGAGGUAACGGCCCACCAAGGCGACGACGGGUAGCCGGCCUGAGAGGGCGACCGGCCACACUGGGACUGAGACACGGCCCAGACUCCUACGGGAGGCAGCAGUGGGGAAUAUUGCGCAAUGGGCGAAAGCCUGACGCAGCGACGCCGCGUGAGGGAUGAAGGCCUCGGUUGUAACCUACUUCAGCAGGGACGAAGCGCAAGUGACGGUACCUGCAGAAGAAGCACCGGCCAACUACGUGCCA
RNAcentral lists this ribosomal RNA (483 nucleotides) under uncultured bacterium. RNAcentral's name for it is "bacterial SSU rRNA". It matches the Rfam family "Bacterial small subunit ribosomal RNA", at positions 9 to 510 of the family's 1533-position model. The record is from RNAcentral.